CCACUCUGGCUAUGGAUGUGGAAAUUUGACAAGCUAUUGAUGAACUGGGUCCAAAAACUUAUAAAGAACAAGUGCAAAAUGCAGAAAACAUCAGCCCUUCAAGUCCAUGCUCAGCGUGGUCACCAUCAGAGCGCAGAAGAACCAGAACACAAGAAAAAAGAAACCGACUGGAGGGAUUUGGCCCAGAAGCUUUUGUUCAGUGAAACCAAAAAGACUGAAGCAGGAGGACGGGCCCGUGGCCGUGAGAUGAAAUGUGACAAGGAAUAUUCUUCACCUUAAAAGAUCAUCAACUCCAUGAAAAAAACACCUAAAGUAGCAAACAGCAAGCAAAAUUUAAAGUUCAGAAGAGAUACCAGCGUAAAUGACUCUCUCAGUACCUCCAAGGAUUAAAUUCUGUUCAGUCCGGAGCAUAUGGCUGCUGCUAAAGAGCGAUCCAUUUUGCAGCAGCAGAAGAGAUCAAUAAAAAACCUGUCAGUUUCUGUGCUAACCCCUCCUCCUGGACUGGAUCUCAGUGUCCUCGGUGAUGCUACACUACCAGAUGCAGCACAAAGCAUCCACAUGGGACGUCCUGCCGAUCAGUCAGACAAGCUUUUGCUCUCCAGUUGGGGUCUCCCUAAGCCUGUUCUGGAGAAAUACCAGAGUCUAGGUGUUCAGAGGAUGUUUGAGUGGUAGGCUGAGUGUCUGAUCUUGGGCAAAGUGUUGGAGGGCCAGAACCUGGUAUAUUCUGCUCCAACCAGUGCAGGAAAAACUUUGGUAUCAGAGUUGUUAAUCUUGAAGAGAGUUUUGGAAACAAGACAAAAGGCCAUGUUCAUUCU
Cyprinus carpio (common carp) is the source of this 815-nucleotide long non-coding RNA. RefSeq lists it as uncharacterized. NCBI's taxonomy places the organism in Eukaryota, Metazoa, Chordata, Actinopteri, Cypriniformes, Cyprinidae. The transcript has 3 exons. The record is from RefSeq and is a predicted model, not a curated record.